RNAcentral lists this ribosomal RNA (500 nucleotides) under uncultured Glomeromycotina. RNAcentral's name for it is "partial small subunit ribosomal RNA". It matches the Rfam family "Eukaryotic small subunit ribosomal RNA", at positions 591 to 1092 of the family's 1831-position model. The record is from RNAcentral. Lineage: Eukaryota; Fungi; Glomeromycota.
CCAAUAGCGUAUAUUAAAGUUGUUGCAGUUAAAAAGCUCGUAGUUGAAUUUCGGGGUUAGUAGAUUGGUCAUGCCACUGGUAUGUACUGGUCUUACUGAUUCCUCCUUCCUGAUGAACCGUAAUGCCAUUAAUUUGGUGUUGCGGGGAGACUGGACUGUUACUUUGAAAAAAUUAGAGUGUUUAAAGCAGGCUAACGCUUGAAUACAUUAGCAUGGAAUAAUGAAAUAGGACGUUCGAUCCUAUUUUGUUGGUUUCUAGGAUUGACGUAAUGAUUAAUCGGGAUAGUUGGGGGCAUUAGUAUUCAAUUGUCAGAGGUGAAAUUCUUGGAUUUAUUGAAGACUAACUACUGCGAAAGCAUUUGCCAAGGAUGUUUUCAUUAAUCAAGAACGAAAGUUAGGGGAUCGAAGACGAUCAGAUACCGUCGUAGUCUUAACCAUAAACUAUGCCGACUAGGGAUCGGAUGAUGUUAAUUUUUUAAUGACUCAUUCGGCGCCUUACG